AACGAACGCUGGCGGCAUGCCUAACACAUGCAAGUCGAACGAGACCUUCGGGUCUAGUGGCGCACGGGUGCGUAACGCGUGGGAACCUGCCCUUAGGUUCGGAAUAACUCCCCGAAAGGGGUGCUAAUACCGGAUAAUGUCUUCGGACCAAAGAUUUAUCGCCUUUGGAUGGGCCCGCGUUGGACUAGCUAGUUGGUAGGGUAAAAGCCUACCAAGGCGACGAUCCAUAGCUGGUCUGAGAGGAUGAUCAGCCACACUGGGACUGAGACACGGCCCAGACUCCUACGGGAGGCAGCAGUGGGAAUAUUGGACAAUGGGCGAAAGCCUGAUCCAGCAAUGCCGCGUGAGUGAUGAAGGCCUUAGGGUUGUAAAGCUCUUUUACCCGGAAUGAUAAUGACAGUACCGGGAGAAUAAGCUCCGGCUAACUCCGUG
This 432-nucleotide ribosomal RNA is filed under the name uncultured bacterium. Its description in RNAcentral is "partial 16S ribosomal RNA". It matches the Rfam family "Bacterial small subunit ribosomal RNA", at positions 29 to 507 of the family's 1533-position model. The record is from RNAcentral.